This 257-nucleotide long non-coding RNA is filed under the name Capsella rubella. RNAcentral's name for it is "long non-coding RNA (CRUB_LNC001469)". The record is from RNAcentral. Lineage: Eukaryota; Viridiplantae; Streptophyta; Magnoliopsida; Brassicales; Brassicaceae.
UUUUUUUUUACUCUUACCAACUUGAUGCUUUAACAAACAAAACGAUGCUAAGUUUUUUUUUUUUUUGAUAUAUUUUAAAGAAACAAUAAUAUUUGAAUGGACUUCGAAAUGAUCAAGAAAUUGUUAGUAAUUAGAUUUAGUUGUAAUACUUUUGUCAUUGAAGACUACUUUGAUAACAAAGUGAAUGACAAAGAGAAAAGAGGUAAAGGUGAAAAAGUAAAUAUGAAUGGACCGCUUACCAAAACUUUCAUUAGAUG